CAGCAGCCACGGUAAUACAGAGGAUGCAAGCGUUAUCCGGAAUGAUUGGGUGUAAAGCGUCUGUAGGUGGCUUUUCAAGUCCGCCGUCAAAUCCCAGGGCUCAACCCUGGACAGGCGGUGGAAACUACCAAGCUGGAGUACGGUAGGGGCAGAGGGAAUUUCCGGUGGAGCGGUGAAAUGCGUUGAGGUCGGAAAGAACACCAUCGGCGAAAGCACUCUGCUGGGCCGACACUGACACUGAGAGACGAAAGCUAGGGGAGCAAAUGGGAUUAGAUACCCGCGUAGUCCCUGUCUCUUAUAC
RNAcentral lists this ribosomal RNA (301 nucleotides) under uncultured bacterium. RNAcentral describes it as "partial 16S ribosomal RNA". It matches the Rfam family "Bacterial small subunit ribosomal RNA", at positions 509 to 807 of the family's 1533-position model. The record is from RNAcentral.